UACGGGGGGGGCAAGCGUUGUUCGGAAUUACUGGGCGUAAAGGGCUCGUAGGCGGCCAACUAAGUCGGAUGUGAAAUCCCCAGGCUUAACCUGGGAACUGCAUCCGAUACUGGAAGGCUUGAAUCCGGGAGAGGGAUGUGGAAUUCCAGGUGUAGCGGUGAAAUGCGUAGAUAUCUGGAGGAACACCGGUGGUGAAGACGGGUGACUGGGCUAGUUCUGACACUGAGGCACGAAAGCGUGGGGAGCGAACGGG
Molecule: ribosomal RNA, 253 nt
Filed under: uncultured bacterium
Lineage: Bacteria
Description: partial 16S ribosomal RNA
Rfam family: Bacterial small subunit ribosomal RNA
Source: RNAcentral